This 21-nucleotide non-coding RNA is filed under the name Caenorhabditis elegans. Lineage: Eukaryota; Metazoa; Nematoda; Chromadorea; Rhabditida; Rhabditidae. The record is from RNAcentral.
UUUUUUCAUUCGGAGAUAUUG